Oryctolagus cuniculus (rabbit) is the source of this 80-nucleotide small nucleolar RNA. Lineage: Eukaryota; Metazoa; Chordata; Mammalia; Lagomorpha; Leporidae. The record is from Ensembl.
CAGACAUUGGAGGAUGAAAAUAUGGAGUGAUCCAUGGUUUCAGUUGACAAUAUAUAAUGGUUUACUGCUGUCACUGUCCA